This 424-nucleotide ribosomal RNA is filed under the name uncultured bacterium. RNAcentral describes it as "bacterial SSU rRNA". It matches the Rfam family "Bacterial small subunit ribosomal RNA", at positions 356 to 772 of the family's 1533-position model. The record is from RNAcentral.
AGGGAAUAUUGGCCAAUGGGCGCAAGCCUGAACCAGCCACGCCGCGUGAGUGAUGAAGGCCUUCGGGUUGUAAAGCUCUGUGGGGAGGGACGAGAACGGUCCGGAAGAAACGACGGAUCCUUGACGGUACCUCCUUAGCAAGCACCGGCUAACUCUGUGCCAGCAGCCGCGGUAAUACAGAGGGUGCGAACGUUGCUCGGAAUUACUGGGCGUAAAGCGCACGUAGGUGGCGAUUCAAGUUAGAUGUGAAAGGCCCGGGCUCAACCCGGGAACUGCAUUUGAUACUGAAUUGCUAGAGUCCAAGAGAGGGUAGUGGAAUUCCCAGUGUAGAGGUGAAAUUCGUAGAUAUUGGGAAGAACACCAGUGGCGAAGGCGGCUACCUGGCUUGGUACUGACACUGAGGUGCGAAAGCGUGGGGAGCGAA